RNAcentral lists this long non-coding RNA (219 nucleotides) under Lathyrus oleraceus (garden pea). RNAcentral describes it as "Pisum sativum (pea) long non-coding RNA (PSAT_LNC001816)". Lineage: Eukaryota; Viridiplantae; Streptophyta; Magnoliopsida; Fabales; Fabaceae. The record is from RNAcentral.
AAGAGAUUGCUUUGGUAAAGGUAGCUUGGGGAGGACCAGCAGGUGGCAAUGUGACUUGGGAACUUGAGAGUCAGAUGAAGGAGUCUUAUCCAGAGUUAUUCGCUUGAGGUAUGUUUUCGAGGACGAAAACUCUUUUAGUGGGGGAGAGUUGUAACACCCCGAUAAAAUAUGAUAAUUAUUUAAUUUAAGUUAAUAGAAUAUUUAUUAAUUUAAUUAAAU